Long non-coding RNA from Sycon ciliatum, 348 nucleotides. RefSeq lists it as uncharacterized. The transcript has 3 exons. The record is from RefSeq and is a predicted model, not a curated record. Lineage: Eukaryota; Metazoa; Porifera; Calcarea; Leucosolenida; Sycettidae.
AGGGAGGCCGGAGCUACUCCAUGGCUCCUACCAUCGCGCGGCCGGAUGGCCGCAUGCGUGUGCAUUGCAGACUUUUUGUUGUUGCCUUUUCGGAUGUGCAUGCACGAGGAACUUCCUUCUUUGGAACUGCUUCUUGCAUGAGCUGUUUCGGAUAUUUCGUCUCCUGGCCUGGCUUAUUUCGUUUCGGUGCUGCUGAGACCUCCUUUCGCGGAAUAUUACUCAAUGACAGUGUGCGAAGAACGCGAGUUCCCCUUCUCGACGAAAAUCGUGGACUAACAGUUUGAAGUCAUUGAACUACUUCCAAGAGUUGUAUCGACAUCAACAGGAUUACGAUUUCAGUGCAAUAUG